ACGGUAGCAGGAGAAAGCUUGCUUUCUUGCUGACGAGUGGCGGACGGGUGAGUAAUGCUUGGGGAUCUGUCUUAUGGAGGGGGAUAACGACGGGAAACUGUCGCUAAUACCGCGUAGAGUCGGGAGACGAAAGUGCGGGACCUUAGGGCCGCAUGCCAUGAGAUGAGCCCAAGUGUGAUUAGGUAGUUGGUGGGGUAAAGGCCUACCAAGCCGACGAUCGCUAGCUGGUCUGAGAGGAUGGCCAGCCACACCGGGACUGAGACACGGCCCGGACUCCUACGGGAGGCAGCAGUGGGGAAUAUUGCGCAAUGGGGGCAACCCUGACGCAGCCAUGCCGCGUGAAUGAAGAAGGCCUUCGGGUUGUAAAGUUCUUUCGGUGAUGAGGAAGGUUGGUGUGUUAAUAGCAUGCCAACUUGACGUUAAAUACAGAAGAAGCAC
This 438-nucleotide ribosomal RNA is filed under the name Aggregatibacter actinomycetemcomitans. Its description in RNAcentral is "bacterial SSU rRNA". It matches the Rfam family "Bacterial small subunit ribosomal RNA", at positions 66 to 493 of the family's 1533-position model. The record is from RNAcentral. Lineage: Bacteria; Pseudomonadati; Pseudomonadota; Gammaproteobacteria; Pasteurellales; Pasteurellaceae.